Molecule: long non-coding RNA, 1661 nt
Organism: Capsicum annuum
Lineage: Eukaryota; Viridiplantae; Streptophyta; Magnoliopsida; Solanales; Solanaceae
Exons: 2
Source: RefSeq, a predicted model, not a curated record
CAUCCAUCUCCCUUGCUCUCUCUCUCUUUACCUUCUCUCUAUAUUUUCUUCCCCUCUCUCCAAGCUUCCACCAUGGCAGCGGCCGUCGGGCAGUCUACCGGAUGGCCGAUGACCCUUCUCAUCUCCUCUCUCCAUCCUCUUUUCUCUCCUCUCUAGCCAGGAAAAAUAAGCCAACCACCAGCGAACAUCGGUUGGCCACCGCUCUAACGAAAAUAACCACCACCGGUCGAUGGGAGUUCCACCAGCAGCAACUCUAUAGACGCCGACACCUCUCAUCAUCUCCUUCUAUCAGUGACCACGAACCCAGAUGCAUCAUCGUAUUUUGGCAAAGCCCUUUCCCAGCCUCUGCUCUAGAUAACGAAACCCACCUCAAUUGACUACGUCAACAAUAACAACGGUAUCCCGCCACCUUGUUCUCCGCUGUCUCUCAUCUCUCCGCUACCAUAUAGCCAUGAUUUUAUUCUAUUUGCUUCAUCGGAGGUAAUGACCAGUGAGGAAUAUAAGACUCCAAAGACUGGGCAGAAUUUUUGAGAUUUGAAGAAAACCACAAAAAUUUCAUGAGUAAACAAUAUAUCCAUUCGCAACGACGUGCAAAAGGUAUUUUUCAUUCUAAACUGGGUAGAAUUUUUUUAGAAUUCCUCAAAAAUUUCAUCACGAUGGUGUACAAGUCCCAACGAUUCAUGGAGUAGAAAACAAUAACCAAGACACUUCGAUUGAGCCAGAGGUACAAAUCAACCUCCCUUUUUUUUUUACAAACUCAUAAUUUUUCUUUAAGUACAGGAUUAACAGGUACUGAUGACAGGAAUCACUCCAUCAUGAGAGGCCCAACGCCCAAUCCAGCAUCAUGAUGAGAAGCCCAAUGGUUGAUCCAACAAUACAAUAGAUAUGCUUUCUUAUAUUUUAUUAUCUUUAUUAUUAUGAUUAUUUUCACUACAUCGUUCAAUCUUCUAUACAUACUAACAAUUUUUAUGUAGUUGAGCUAAAGAUGGCAGGACUAACAUGCACAGAUUACUCCAUCACGAGUAGCCAAAUAGUUGAUUCCACGAUUCCACAGUACAUCAAGAAUCCCAAGAUCUGAUCCCGUGAUUCCACAGUGCAUCGAUAAGCCAAAAACAUGAUACCAUGAUGAGAAGCCAUAGUGCAUCAAAAAGCCAAAGAGUUGAUCCCACGAUGAGAAGCCAAACAGCUGAUCCCACUAUUCCACAAUGCAUAGAGAGGUCCAAGAGCUGAUCCCACGAUUCCGUAGUGAAUCAAGAAACCUAAAAUUUGAUCCCAUUAAGAGAAUCCAAAUAGCUAAUCCCACAGUGCAUAGAGAGGCCCAAGAGACGAUCCCAGGAUUCCACAAUGCAUCGAGAAGCCCAAAAGCUGAUCCCACAAUGAGAAGACAAACAACUGAUCUUAUGAUGAGAAGCCAAAUAGUCGAUCCCACAGUGCAUCGAGAGGCCCAAGAUCUAAUCCCACGAUUCGACAGUGCAUCAAGAAUCCAAAUCAUUGAUCCCCCGAUAUAAUAGAUAUGCUUUAUUUAUUUCCACAUUCACUUUAUGUUUAUCAAUUGCUUAUCUUUUUCAUGCCCCAACCUUUGUUAUCUAGUAUAUUGUAAAGUACGCAGGUGACAGAGAAGGAGUAACAAACAGAAAUAAUUUUCAUUUAUGUUUUUGAAA